Molecule: ribosomal RNA, 407 nt
Filed under: uncultured bacterium
Lineage: Bacteria
Description: partial 16S ribosomal RNA
Rfam family: Bacterial small subunit ribosomal RNA
Source: RNAcentral
GACGAACGCUGGCGGCGUGCCUAAUACAUGCAAGUAGAGCGCAGUUGCGAACGGGUGAGUAACGCGUAGGUAACUGCCUCAUAGCGGGGGAUAACUAUUGGAAACGAUGGCUAAUACCGCAUACUGUGAGAUGGACGUGCGUUGUAUUAGCUAGGUGGUGAGGUAAAGGCCCACCAAGGCGACGAUACAUAGCCGACCUGAGAAGGGGGACGGCCCCACUGGGACUGAGACACCGCCCCGACUCCCACGGGAGGCAGCAGUAGGGAAUCUUUGGCAAUGGACGGAAGGCUGACCGAGCAACGCCGCGUGAGUGAAGAAGGUUUUCGGAUCGUAAAGCUCUUUUGUUAGAGAAGCGGUACCUACCCAGAAAGGGACGGCUAACUACGUGCCAGCAGCCGCGGUAAUUC